ACGCCAGGCCCGUUUCCGUGGAGACGACCUAUGACACAGCGGGAACUGAAAAGAAGAAGAAGAGGAGGCACUUCCUGAAUGGCUGCGUGUCCCGUGUCACGUUGGCCAUUUGCCUGAAAAAAGCCCCGCUGGGAUCAAAACAUGGCUCCUCUCCAGUCCGCUGAAGAUGAUUGUUUGGUUCCCGAUGGUCAAAAAAACCCCAAACAAGUGCUGGGUUGAGGGUAACAAACGGCCUCGUUGAGAGGCUGCAGCCUCAACGCGGACCUCACUGACCAGGAUUCCUCUGUUACCUUGGUC
This is a long non-coding RNA of Xiphias gladius (swordfish), 297 nucleotides long. RefSeq lists it as uncharacterized. The record is from RefSeq and is a predicted model, not a curated record. The transcript has 3 exons. NCBI's taxonomy places the organism in Eukaryota, Metazoa, Chordata, Actinopteri, Istiophoriformes, Xiphiidae.